RNAcentral lists this long non-coding RNA (2465 nucleotides) under Phoenix dactylifera (date palm). RNAcentral describes it as "long non-coding RNA (PDAC_LNC003880)". Lineage: Eukaryota; Viridiplantae; Streptophyta; Magnoliopsida; Arecales; Arecaceae. The record is from RNAcentral.
GGGUGUACGCUAAGCAAGGUUCACCCCUAUACCAAGGAUACUAUACCAUACUAGUAUUGAACCGAUACUCAAGUGCAUACCGAGUAUCAUAUGCCGAACCGACCCCUAUACUAAUGCUAUACCAAUAUAGUACCGAUAUAGGCCCAGUACCAAGAUAGCGAAUUUUGAUACUAAAGUUUAAAAAGUAUAGAGAUUGGAAAAUGAACCUAAUGAAAUUCUAAUCAAGUUAAAACUUAAAUAACGUAAUACAGGCUUAGACCUAGAAUCAUUUAGACAAAAUAAGACUUCUUAAACUCAAGGGUUAUUAAAUGGCUAAUUUUAGCAUUGAAAUGACUAGUUAAAAGCCAAAUGAUAAAAUUUCAUAUAAUGUUUGGCAAGUUGACUGACCAUCUUAAAAAAGGAACUAAACACUCGGUCCCUUGUUUGACUGCCAUUUGAUGAUGAUUGGUCCUCAGCUAUUUUGCUCAGUCCUUUAGACCACUUUUUGAACAGUUAGUUCUAUUUCCAUAUAAAGGUUCGCCAAACUGGUACCAUGACUCUUAUCGGUCGGUUACUGGUAUUGUACGGUACAAGUCGUUACCAUGUCGUGCCAGAGCAUACCGAAACAAGGAGAGGGAGAAUGAUGGGAACAUCAGAGCCCCACAUUCAGAUGAUAGAGUCAAUUAGUUGCUUUUAUCAUUGGUCGAGUCAAUUUGGUUAGUUGCUUUUGUUAUUGGUCGAGUCAGUUUGGUUAGUUGUUUGGUUAUUGGUUGAGUCAGUUUGAUUAGUUACUUUUGUUAUUGGUCGAGUCAGUUUGGUUAGUUGUUAAGUCGUGUAAUUAGAUCGAGUGAUUGGAUCGAUUUUGGUAUGUAAUCAAUCGGUUGACUUAGUCAAUUGAUUGAGGAUCCAAAUUUGGUAUGUCGUCAAUUGAUUGACCUGAUGUAAGGCCUAUAUAAAGGCCACCCCUCAUGAAUUAGGAAUUGAAUGAUUGAAUAAAAAAAUUCUAGCCUCCUUUCUGCUUCAUCUUCUUCUUCCUCCUCUUCUCUUCUUCUUGCGUCUCUAUAACCUCUUCUUCCUCCUUUCCUUCUUCCUCUUUCUCUCUUCUCUCUACAAUGGUCUACUAUCAGCUUGGUAUCAGAGCAGGCCGGCUUUGCCCCUGCUGCCAAAACCACGAUCCAGUUUCUUUUCUCGUCUCUCUCUCUCUUUGUUUUCAACAGAAAAAACAAAGGCUUAACAAGACCCUCCCCUCUCAACUCGUGCCUUUCUCCCUCCCUCUCGGUUUUCACCAAGAAAAAGGGGAGAACCCCUGCGGCUGCUCCUCCCCACCACCCGUCACUCCCGUGGCCGCCCUCACCCCCGUGCACAACGCCAGCAAUGCCGCCAUCUUCCGAGCGCCACCUCCUACAAGUGUCGGCCCCUCCGCAACGCCACGUUGCAGUCCUUGAAGCCCCGCGCCUGCCGCUUCUUCCGCCAAGCUCCACCUGGAUCUUCGCCGCAAACCACCCCACGGCCGCCCCCUCAUGUCGCGGAACCGCCCUCUCCCUCGUGGCCGUCCACCGCCGCCGUCGUCACCGCACCACAGCCGCCGCACCACGACGUCCUCCGUCGAGGUCCUCCGGCUCCAAGCACCGCCUUGUCUGAGCCGCUCACCUUCCUCUUCCUUCAUCCCGUCACCACCUUCUUCCUUCAUUCUGUCGCCGCCUUCUUCCUCACAAGUCCUAGUACCAAGAUAGCAAAUUUUGAUACUAAAGUUUAAAAAGUACAGAGAUUGGAAAAUGAACCUAAUGAAAUUCUAAUCAAAUUAAAACUUAAAUAACGUAAUACAAGCUUAGACCUAGAAUCAUUUAGACAAAAUAAGACUUCUUAAACUCAAGGGUUAUUAAAUGGAUAAUUUUAGCAUUGAAAUGACUAGUUAAAGCCAAAUGAUAAAAUUUCAUAUAAUGUUUGGCAAGUUGACUGACCAUCUUAAAAAAGGAACGAAACACUUGGUCCCUUGUUUGACUUCCAUUUGAUUAUGAUUGGUCCUCAGCUAUUUUGCUCGGUCCUUUAGACCACUUUUUGAACAGUUAGUCCUAUUUCCAUAUAAAGGUUCGCCAAACUGAUACCAUGACCCUUAUCGGUCGGUUACUGGUAUUGUACGGUACAAGUCGUUACCAUGUCGUGCCAGAGCAUACCGAAACAAGGAGAGGGAGAAUGAUGGGAACAUCAGAGCCCCACAUUCAGAUGAUAGAGUCAAUUAAUUGCUUUUAUCAUUGGUCGAGUCAGUUUGGUUAGUUGUUUUUGUCAUUGGUCGAGUCAGUUUGGUUAGUUGCUUUUGUUAUUGGUCGAGUCAAUUUGGUUAGUUGUUAAGUCGUGUAAUUGGGUCGAGUGAUUGGAUCGAUUUUGGUAUGUAAUCAAUCAGUUGACUUAGUCAAUUGAUUGAGGAUCCAAGUUUGGUAUGUCAUCAAUUGAUUGACAUGAUGUAAGGCCUAUAUAAAGGCCACCCC